CCGUGGGAGGGAAGGCACUCUCUGUCAAGCUGCUGUCACCUUACCUGAAGUAAGGAGUCCACGCCUGCAUGUCCGAGGAAAACAGUUUUCUCAAACACAUUAGUUGAAAAACUGAAGACGCUGCCUAAAAUACAAGCUGAGUUAGAGACAGCCCUUGUAAGACUAGAAAAAGAAAUGGAAACUAAGUAACAUGAAUUAACAUAGUCCAGGGUCACAAAGCAACAUGGAACAAGAACCUGGAUCUGAAUUCAGAGGCAGAAUGCUGGCUCCUUCAGGAGGUAUCCAAAGGCAUUGUUAUGGUGGGAGAUGACAGCUCCAUGCCUGUUAUUGCCUCUGAAGACCAUGCAGGACACCAUGUGGAGAUAGAAGACGGUGACAUUGAGAAUCCUGACCUUAUGCUGGCCUAGGCUAAUGUGUGUGUUUGUGUCUUAGUUUUUAACAAAAAAGUUUAUAAAGUAAAUAAAUAGAAAAUAGCAUAUAGAAUAAGGAUAUAAAGAAGGGAAA
Long non-coding RNA from Homo sapiens (human), 504 nucleotides. Ensembl annotates it as INTS6 antisense RNA 1. Its record names the gene INTS6-AS1. Lineage: Eukaryota; Metazoa; Chordata; Mammalia; Primates; Hominidae. The record is from Ensembl.